Molecule: small nuclear RNA, 108 nt
Organism: Octodon degus (degu)
Lineage: Eukaryota; Metazoa; Chordata; Mammalia; Rodentia; Octodontidae
Source: Ensembl
GUGGUCAGCUCAGCAGCACAUGUACUAAAAUUAGAACAAUAUGGAAAAGGUUAGCACGGCCCCCUGCAUGAGGAUGACGCACAAAUUCAUGAAGCACUCUGUUUUUUU